AACCAACAGGGAUUGCCCUAGUAACGGCGAGUGAAGCGGCAACAGCUCAAAUUUGAAAUCUGGCUCUUUUAGGGUCCGAGUUGUAAUUUGCAGAGGGCGCUUUGGCGUUGGCAGCGGUCCAAGUUCUUUGGAACAGGACGUCACAGAGGGUGAGAAUCCCGUACGUGGUCGCUAGCCUUCGCCGUGUAAAGCCCCUUCGACGAGUCGAGUUGUUUGGGAAUGCAGCUCUAAAUGGGAGGUAAAUUUCUUCUAAAGCUAAAUACUGGCCAGAGACCGAUAGCGCACAAGUAGAGUGAUCGAAAGAUGAAAAGCACUUUGGAAAGAGAGUCAAAUAGCACGUGAAAUUGUUGAAAGGGAAGCGCUUGCAGCCAGACUUGCCUGUAGUUGCUUAUCCGGACUUUUGUCCGGUGCACUCUUCUGCGGGCAGGCCAGCAUCAGUUUAGGCGGUUGGAUAAAGGUCUCUAUCACGUACCUCCCUUCGGGGUUGGCCUUAUAGGGGAGACGACAUGCAACCAGCCUGAACUGAGGUCCGCGCAUCUGCUAGGAUGCUGGCGUAAUGGCUGUAAGCGGCCCGUCUUGAAACACGGACCAAGGAGUCUAACAUCUAUGCGAGUGUUUGGGUGUCAAGCCCAGACGCGUAAUGAAAGUGAACGGAGGUGGGAACCUUUUAGGUGCACCAUCGACCGAUCCUGAUGUCUUCGGAUGGAUUUGAGUAAGAGCAUGGCUGUUGGGACCCGAAAGAUGGUGAACUAUGCUUGAAUAGGGUGAAGCCAGAGGAAACUCUGGUGGAGGCUCGCAGCGGUUCUGACGUGCAAAUCGAUCGUCAAAUUUGGGCAUAGGG
RNAcentral lists this ribosomal RNA (841 nucleotides) under Septoriella phragmitis. RNAcentral describes it as "eukaryotic LSU rRNA". It matches the Rfam family "Eukaryotic large subunit ribosomal RNA", at positions 63 to 922 of the family's 3401-position model. The record is from RNAcentral. Lineage: Eukaryota; Fungi; Ascomycota; Dothideomycetes; Pleosporales; Phaeosphaeriaceae.